Molecule: transfer RNA, 68 nt
Filed under: Cylindrotoma sp. ZK-2016
Lineage: Eukaryota; Metazoa; Arthropoda; Insecta; Diptera; Cylindrotomidae
Description: tRNA-Glu
Source: RNAcentral
AUUUAUAUAGUUUAAUUAAAAACAUUACAUUUUCACUGUAAAAAUAAAAACCAAUAUUUUUAUAAAUU